CACUUGCUUACAUCAAACAACACAGUAAUGCUAGUUACCCUAUGACCCCCCAAAGUCCCAGAAGCAAUACUAACUCUGAGGUCUGUGCAGUUGGCCACCUUGGAGCCCUCCCCACCCCUGCGGUGCGGUCUGGGUUCUCUGGUCCUGAACCCCCUCCCCUGCGGACCGGAGGAGGGACCUCGGGCCGCUGGGCCGGGCCAGGUCCUGUCUCCGCGCCACCGCCAGGGUCCCGGUGCGGAGGUCGCCCCGAAGGCGUGCGAGUAACUCUGGCUUUGGCUGGGUGUCCCCGGCCCACGUCACCUGUUUGACAGCCUCACACCAAAUCAGAGGGCAGCUCUGGCCGGGAGCCCCCGCUCGUCACCCGAGCUCCCGCGGAUUAGAACUCGCCUCUCCUGACUCCUCCCUGCGGUCCCAUUUAAAUCUCCCUCUGCCUUUGGGGAUAAGUUAGCGCGCGCCUCCGUUUCUGCAUUGCUGACUUUCACCGCAAGAUGAACACCAUUCUACCUUGCCAAGACCAGUAUUUUUCAGGAGGCCAAAAUUAUAAUUGCCCGUUAUCCACCGCGACGUCAGAACCUAGUGUUGACGUUUCCACGGAGACUUGGGUCUCUUUCUGGGCUGCUGGUCUCCUGGACAACAGUGAGCCCCAACAAGCACCACAGGCACAGGAACCAGCCUGUGACUUGAAUUUUCCUGUUCCGGAUUCCUGUUCGUGGGAAGAAGCACAGCUCUCCUCGCAGCUCUACCGAAACAAGCAGCUCCAAGAUACUCUCAUACAGAAGGAAGAAGAACUUGCUAGGCUACACGAAGAGAAUAAUCACCUCAGACAAUAUCUGAAUUCUACUUUGGUUAAAUGCCUUGAAGAAAAGGCCAAGAAAUUGCUUUCCUCAGAUGAGUUCUCCAAAGCAUGUGGAAAAUUCAGAAAGGGGAAGAGGAAACCUAGAGAGCACAGAUACUCUCCUGCUGAGACUCCCCACCCCAAAAAUGCCAAGCGGAAUCUCUCAAGCGAGUUUGCUAAUCAGCCAGAGCAACCUGGGCCCCCUGUGGAUGCCUGGGUCCUUCAGACGCUUGGGUUGAAAGACUUUAACACCAUUGACGAUGCCAGAUCAGCUAACUGCAGUGCCCUCUCCGCUCCUCCUCAAGGGGUCACCAGUACCUAUUCCCACUUUCUGGGUGAAGCGGUUGACUAUGAAAAUGUCCCCAGAGACAACCUGCCCCACGACUAUGAAGGUGAAAGAGCAGCCCUGCUGCACCGUACUGCCAGCCCCGGGGAAGAUCUUCACUACUUUUCUCAGCCUCCCCAUCCCCCGGUGAGGGUCCCAGUGCUUCCUUAUCACGACGCGGAUGUGUCACCCAACAAGACAGAGGUGGCCUUUUCCGCGUCACUGAGCCCUCACUGCAAUGUGAAGACUCAUUCCUUUCACCAGGGACAAGCUUUCGUGCGCAGAGACGAAGAGGGAGGCUGGAGGUUUACUUGGGUCCCGAAGCAGUCACAGUGACCCUUGUGGUGAAGCGCAGAGCAGGGCCACAAACUCCGCCUCCCAGGACAAUCUCUUGCACUUGAAUAUGUCCGUGUGGAACACCGAAGCUAUCGUCCACAGUCUCUCCUGCUGUUGUAAAAGUUACUCACGGUUACCUGUUUCGUUCUGUAGGGAAUGGCUUCCAAGACUUUAUAAGGAGAGGUAUCUUCUCCUCUUUCACCUAAGUUUGGUUUGUUUACACACUCGUACCUACAGUGGACUUCCUCUCUUUGCCUUAUACUUGAAACAAUAGUUUCCGAUCAUUGAGGGGUUUCAAAUUUUAGAUUUACUUUUCCAGCUGUGACCAGUUUAACAGCUUUUCUUCAUUCAUCGAACAAUUUAUUGUUCAUCGCCCUUUCAUUUUUUUCUGCCUUUUCUGUUCCUCUGUUCUUGCUGAAUAUUGCCUUUAGAAUGAACCCUGGUUUGGUCCAAAUAGUUGGUUAGUGCUCAAAUAGCUGGGGUAGGGUACACACGAGUAUCUGUUCAUCAUCCACACUUCAGAAGACACUGUGUGGACGUGAGGGCCCCUAUGUCCAGGGCAGUUGGAAACGGUGAAUGUCCCAUAGUGGCACAGGGAAAAUAUUUCUUAAACCAACCAUAACGUCCCUAAAAAUCAAUGCCAUUGCUAAAUUAUAAGUUACUUUGAAAAUGCCCCACUGUAUAUCAGCUUGUACUAGCACUUGACAUCUUUUUUGCUUAAUCAGAAUGGCUCAAGUAGGUUAAUUUUUGAGUAAUAGUGGUGACAAAGCAAGUCACCACCUUAAUCUACACAGAUACUGUCAGACAAACUAUUAUUCCUCGAAGCGUAGUCUUGCGUAGCUGGGCUACGAAUAUGAUUGUACUCAUUUGAUCCUGUAUGCCUCCAUCCACCAUCUCACUGGACAGAUCUGUAGAACGCCUCGUAUUUACACUCUGUGCCAGGCACCGUGCUAUGGGAAGGGGAUAAGCUGUGAGUGAUCCAGACCCUGUGCCCCCACUCAUGAAACCUGGAGCAGUUUCUCCACUCUCCACCUUGAGAAAGCUGCUUCCCUUGUGUGGAAGUUCAGUUUUCCUAGAUGAAUAAGGCAGUAGGGUGAGAUGAUGAGUCACACCCUGUGAAUGCAGACAGGAUCACCUCAGCUUCACUCUAGGGGUAGGAAUUCCAGGCCACCCUUCCCUGUUGUUUUCAUAAGAACCUCGGCUACUAUGUAGGGUGAACUUUACAUGCCAUUUUUAAAAAACGUGAGCCAUUUGUAGUUAGCAUUAGAAAUCUUCUCUUCCUACAGCAUUCUUGUUGCUACUAGGAGUUCAUUUUCUCGAUCAAUUGAGUCUGUGUGAAGGUAACUUACAUCUGAAAUAGAUGUAUAUUAAUUUUUAAGUAAGUGUUCAUAGAUUGAAAGUAACUAUUGAUAUCAAGGGUUCUUCCUUUUCUAAAUUUAACAAAAAUGUUUUUUAUUUUUUGUUUUUGUUUUUGUUUUUUUGAGAUAGGUUCUCACUAUGUAGUUGAGACGGCCCUGGAACUCACUGUGUAGCCCAGGCUGGUCUCAAACUCACAGAGAUCCUCCUGCCUUAGCCUCCCGAGUGCUGGGAAGGUGUGUGCCACCAUGUCUGGCUACAAAAAUGUAUUCUUUUUUUUUCAGCUUUAAUUGAGUUUAUUGGUACAUUUUAGGGAUACAGUACAGUUACAUUCAUUGUUGGGGUCUUGUACCUUUACAUGACAGGUCUUGGUUCUCAUUUUUAAGGGAGAGCAGGCACAAGGGGAAAAAAUGAGAACAAAGGGCAAAAAUGUAUUCUUCAUGCUCCUGCUAGUCCUUCUCUCCCCUCCCUAAAGCUCCCUACCGUUCCCAAGAGAAAUUACACAUCAAUGAUGUGCACCUGUGCUUUUCAGACCAACCCCAUUUAAUGAUGAAGCCAACCAUGGUGAACCCUACUUCCAAUUUUAUCUUUCCCAUUUCCUGUCAACUUACCUUGCAUGGUUGAAAUUUCAUAUGUGUAUUGCUUGGAAUUCUAACAGACAUUCCUGUUUUUGUUUGUUUUUGCUCUUCAUAGUUUCUUUACUUUGGUCAUGUGAACAAAGUAGCUAUUUAAUUUUUUUUUUU
Molecule: long non-coding RNA, 3595 nt
Filed under: Fukomys damarensis (Damara mole-rat)
Lineage: Eukaryota; Metazoa; Chordata; Mammalia; Rodentia; Bathyergidae
Description: lncRNA (ENSFDAG00000029957.1)
Source: RNAcentral